Molecule: long non-coding RNA, 1315 nt
Organism: Astatotilapia calliptera (eastern happy)
Lineage: Eukaryota; Metazoa; Chordata; Actinopteri; Cichliformes; Cichlidae
Source: Ensembl
GUUUUGCUGAUCAAUUUGACAUGUUUUGAGAUUCAGCAUUGAAACAGAGUGAUAGCUGAAGGUACAGACUGAUGGCAUUGGAUGGAAAAUCUCAAACAACACUAUUAGGACUCUCUGUUAUUUGUCACCAUUACCUGUCAGUCUAGUAAGCCAGAGCUGGCAAAUGUCUAUCAUAUAACACUAGAUAUGCAUGGUUGUGUGCUGUAACAAAAAGAAACAAACAAUCAGAAUGCAAACCUUUCUAAUGUAAUGUAGCUGAAAGUUACAGUUUACAAAGAUUAAAUUAGAUUUUUAGAAGUUACUUUAUUGUAAGUCAUUAACUUUUAUAUGAACAACUACUUGGCUUUUUGGAAAACAGUCUUAAAGUUAGAUCCAAAUGUUGGACUCUAAAAAAAAAAACGUUUACAGGUUUAUUUACAACAACAGAGUUCUCAAGUUUUUCUCCACAGAAUUCUCAACAAUCUCUCCAGCUUGUCCACACCCAGACAUCUGCACAGAAGAGGUAAAUACCAAACACAGGAGGCAACCACAGAGUAAACACACCGAGCAUGAGGAGCUUAACCACUAAUCUACUAACUAAUGUGGUUAGCUCAACGACCAGGGGUGAACUGGAUAUAGAAAUAGCAGCAGGUGAGUGAUUGCAGACAGGUGAACUCAACCACUUCUGAGCCAGAAGUGGAGAAACGAGGAAAAGUCUUGUCCCUGAAACAGAAGAACUGAGGUUAUUUAAUCAUAUACAAACACAUAUACACACACCCACAAAGAAAAUAACAAGAUCUCUCUGAUAAAAAAAAAAAAAAAGACUCUGCCAGUCUGCAGUGGAAAUCUCUGACUAUAUCUGUCCAGGAUGGCAAAUCACCGAACCCAUGAGCAUUCAUUAAGUCCAUAUCCCUCCCGGCCAACCAGAUAUUGGAAACAACUUCGACGCUGCCUAAUAUUCAGAACCCUCCUGACCUUGUAGGCUGGCUGUCCGUCAACGGCCCAGGUGGCAGGAAUGGGGUUGGAAAGAGGGCACAACAGGCUGGAUUAAACGGUUUUCAGCUUGGACCCAUAGAAGACAUGGAAUCUUAAAUAAUUACAUUCGUCGAUGCCUGAAUUAACCCUUGUGUCUGUCAGCUUUUUAAAUUAAUAUAAUUUUAAACAACAGUCACCUUAAGGCAGUUUAUAUUGUAAUGUAAAGAGCCUACAGUAAUAGAGAGGACAAAAAGAGAGCUUUUCUUAUUCGAUCCGUGACUGAAUAUUUUUCAUGGAUAACCCGACUUUCUGACCUGGGAUUUACAAUGGUGUAAAAAAAUGUUGCCCCCCUUCCUGAUUU